GGUGGCUCAGUGGUAGAGUGCUUGCCUAGCACGCAUGAGGCCCUGGGUUCGAUUCCUAAGCACCA
Non-coding RNA from Dipodomys ordii (Ord's kangaroo rat), 65 nucleotides. NCBI's taxonomy places the organism in Eukaryota, Metazoa, Chordata, Mammalia, Rodentia, Heteromyidae. The record is from Rfam.